Molecule: ribosomal RNA, 2134 nt
Filed under: Salmonella enterica subsp. enterica serovar Chester
Lineage: Bacteria; Pseudomonadati; Pseudomonadota; Gammaproteobacteria; Enterobacterales; Enterobacteriaceae
Description: partial 23S ribosomal RNA
Rfam family: Bacterial large subunit ribosomal RNA
Source: RNAcentral
UUGGGCGUUAAGUUGCAGGGUAUAGACCCGAAACCCGGUGAUCUAGCCAUGGGCAGGUUGAAGGUUGGGUAACACUAACUGGAGGACCGAACCGACUAAUGUUGAAAAAUUAGCGGAUGACCUGUGGCUGGGGGUGAAAGGCCAAUCAAACCGGGAGAUAGCUGGUUCUCCCCGAAAGCUAUUUAGGUAGCGCCUCGUGAAUUCAUCUCCGGGGGUAGAGCACUGUUUCGGCUAGGGGGCCAUCCCGGCUUACCAACCCGAUGCAAACUGCGAAUACCGGAGAAUGUUAUCACGGGAGACACACGGCGGGUGCUAACGUCCGUCGUGAAGAGGGAAACAACCCAGACCGCCAGCUAAGGUCCCAAAGUCAUGGUUAAGUGGGAAACGAUGUGGGAAGGCCCAGACAGCCAGGAUGUUGGCUUAGAAGCAGCCAUCAUUUAAAGAAAGCGUAAUAGCUCACUGGUCGAGUCGGCCUGCGCGGAAGAUGUAACGGGGCUAAACCAUGCACCGAAGCUGCGGCAGCGACGCUGAUGCGUUGUUGGGUAGGGGAGCGUUCUGUAAGCCUGCGAAGGUGGCCUGUGAGGGUUGCUGGAGGUAUCAGAAGUGCGAAUGCUGACAUAAGUAACGAUAAAGCGGGUGAAAAGCCCGCUCGCCGGAAGACCAAGGGUUCCUGUCCAACGUUAAUCGGGGCAGGGUGAGUCGACCCCUAAGGCGAGGCCGAAAGGCGUAGUCGAUGGGAAACGGGUUAAUAUUCCCGUACUUGGUGUUACUGCGAAGGGGGGACGGAGAAGGCUAUGUUGGCCGGGCGACGGUUGUCCCGGUUUAAGCGUGUAGGUGUGUGUUCCAGGUAAAUCCGGUUCACUUUAACACUGAGGCGUGAUGACGAGGCACUACGGUGCUGAAGCAACAAAUGCCCUGCUUCCAGGAAAAGCCUCUAAGCAUCAGGUAACAUCAAAUCGUACCCCAAACCGACACAGGUGGUCAGGUAGAGAAUACCAAGGCGCUUGAGAGAACUCGGGUGAAGGAACUAGGCAAAAUGGUGCCGUAACUUCGGGAGAAGGCACGCUGACACGUAGGUGAAGUGAUUUACUCAUGGAGCUGAAGUCAGUCGAAGAUACCAGCUGGCUGCAACUGUUUAUUAAAAACACAGCACUGUGCAAACACGAAAGUGGACGUAUACGGUGUGACGCCUGCCCGGUGCCGGAAGGUUAAUUGAUGGGGUCAGCGCAAGCGAAGCUCCUGAUCGAAGCCCCGGUAAACGGCGGCCGUAACUAUAACGGUCCUAAGGUAGCGAAAUUCCUUGUCGGGUAAGUUCCGACCUGCACGAAUGGCGUAAUGAUGGCCAGGCUGUCUCCACCCGAGACUCAGUGAAAUUGAACUCGCUGUGAAGAUGCAGUGUACCCGCGGCAAGACGGAAAGACCCCGUGAACCUUUACUAUAGCUUGACACUGAACAUUGAGCCUUGAUGUGUAGGAUAGGUGGGAGGCUUUGAAGUGUGGACGCCAGUCUGCAUGGAGCCGACCUUGAAAUACCACCCUUUAAUGUUUGAUGUUCUAACGUGGACCCGUGAUCCGGGUUGCGGACAGUGUCUGGUGGGUAGUUUGACUGGGGCGGUCUCCUCCUAAAGAGUAACGGAGGAGCACGAAGGUUGGCUAAUCCUGGUCGGACAUCAGGAGGUUAGUGCAAUGGCAUAAGCCAGCUUGACUGCGAGCGUGACGGCGCGAGCAGGUGCGAAAGCAGGUCAUAGUGAUCCGGUGGUUCUGAAUGGAAGGGCCAUCGCUCAACGGAUAAAAGGUACUCCGGGGAUAACAGGCUGAUACCGCCCAAGAGUUCAUAUCGACGGCGGUGUUUGGCACCUCGAUGUCGGCUCAUCACAUCCUGGGGCUGAAGUAGGUCCCAAGGGUAUGGCUGUUCGCCAUUUAAAGUGGUACGCGAGCUGGGUUUAGAACGUCGUGAGACAGUUCGGUCCCUAUCUGCCGUGGGCGCUGGAGAACUGAGGGGGGCUGCUCCUAGUACGAGAGGACCGGAGUGGACGCAUCACUGGUGUUCGGGUUGUCAUGCCAAUGGCACUGCCCGGUAGCUAAAUGCGGAAGAGAUAAGUGCUGAAAGCAUCUAAGCACGAAACUUGCCCCGA